UGGGGAAUAUUGCACAAUGGGGGAAACCCUGAUGCAGCGACGCCGCGUGAGUGAAGAAGUAUUUCGGUAUGUAAAGCUCUAUCAGCAGGGAAGAAAAUGACGGUACCUGACUAAGAAGCCCCGGCUAACUACGUGCCAGCAGCCGCGGUAAUACGUAGGGGGCAAGCGUUAUCCGGAUUUACUGGGUGUAAAGGGUGCGUAGGCGGUAUGGCAAGUCAGAAGUGAAAACGCAGGGCUUAACCCUGCGACUGCUUUUGAAACUGUCAGACUAGAGUACAGGAGAGGCAAGCGGAAUUCCUAGUGUAGCGGUGAAAUGCGUAGAUAUUAGG
Molecule: ribosomal RNA, 329 nt
Filed under: uncultured Anaerostipes sp.
Lineage: Bacteria; Bacillati; Bacillota; Clostridia; Lachnospirales; Lachnospiraceae
Description: bacterial SSU rRNA
Rfam family: Bacterial small subunit ribosomal RNA
Source: RNAcentral